GUCGAAGGUCAGAAACACAUGAACGCGUAAAUUAAUCUACAAGAACAGCCUGCGGCUAGCUGACUGGCUAACCUGCUCUGACGGUCUGCUGUACAUGGAAAGAUCUUUCUUACUUUUCUCCUCCGGCUCUGCUCAAGUUUACAGAUGGAGAGACGUAAACACACUUACCUGGCGUCCUGGAAACGGUUUAAAACUCUCCAACCCACGCACCGCU
Molecule: long non-coding RNA, 214 nt
Organism: Sinocyclocheilus rhinocerous
Lineage: Eukaryota; Metazoa; Chordata; Actinopteri; Cypriniformes; Cyprinidae
Exons: 3
Source: RefSeq, a predicted model, not a curated record